AUAAAUAUGAAUAGAGCAUGAAUAGAAUGAGAAUAGAGCAUGAAUAAAAUGAGGGAGGGGAUAGUAGCUAUAUAUGUAUAUGAAUAACUCACACCCUACAUUUCAUUAAGUAAAUUGAAUUUAAUCAAGGUAAAGUUCUAUAAAAACCCAGCUUUCUUAAAAUAUUAUCAACAGUUCCCGCAAGUUGAGUGUUUUUAUAGGAUAGCAAAAACAUUUAAAUUGAUUUGAUUUUUAUCAGAUCAUAGAAACCCACUUUCUAAAAUUCGUUUUUUUUAGAAUCCAACAUCAGUUGCGCAACAAUUUGGUAAACGGAUCAUUAUGGUAGAAGUAGGAAAAGAAUAAAUAAAUAAAUCCUCCCAUGAGCGUACAA
Molecule: unclassified non-coding RNA, 370 nt
Filed under: Hevea brasiliensis (rubber tree)
Lineage: Eukaryota; Viridiplantae; Streptophyta; Magnoliopsida; Malpighiales; Euphorbiaceae
Source: RNAcentral